Non-coding RNA from Pelobates cultripes (western spadefoot toad), 401 nucleotides. The record is from the annotation of a GenBank genome assembly. NCBI's taxonomy places the organism in Eukaryota, Metazoa, Chordata, Amphibia, Anura, Pelobatidae.
AAUUCAGGGGAAGGGUAACAGGGGGAGAAUAUCACACUAUACAAAUCCAAAUGGAAGGCAAGUGCAAAAUAAUGAAAAAGUUUAGGCCAAAAUUGCAGGACAAGCUAAUAAAGUUUAACAAAAGUAGCCAUGCAUAUCCAGAAACAGUUUGGAGCAAAAACUGAAUGUCUAGCAUUAAAAAUCUAACUAAAGUGACCAUAGCAAUAUUAAUAAAAACAGUUGGAGCAAACUGAAAGUCAAUUAAUAAAGUUUAAUUAAAGUGGUAUCCAGAAAAAGCAGUUAGGAUUAAAACUGAAUGUCUAGCAUAAGGUGUCUAACUACAGUGACCAUAGCAAUAUUAAUAAAAACAGUUUGGAGCAAACUGAAUGUUAAGCAAUAAAUGUUUAACUAAUGACAAUUUG